CCUACGGGAGGCAGCAGUGGGGAAUAUUGCACAAUGGGCGCAAGCCUGAUGCAGCAACGCCGCGUGAGGGACGACGGCCUUCGGGUUGUAAACCUCUUUUAGUAGGGAAGAAGCGAAAGUGACGGUACCUGCAGAAAAAGCACCGGCUAACUACGUGCCAGCAGCCGCGGUAAUACGUAGGGUGCAAGCGUUAUCCGGAAUUAUUGGGCGUAAAGAGCUCGUAGGCGGUUUGUCGCGUCUGCUGUGAAAACUGGAGGCUCAACCUCCAGCCUGCAGUGGGUACGGGCAGACUAGAGUGCGGUAGGGGAGAUUGGAAUUCCUGGUGUAGCGGUGGAAUGCGCAGAUAUCAGGAGGAACACCGAUGGCGAAGGCAGAUCUCUGGGCCGUAACUGACGCUGAGGAGCGAAAGCAUGGGGAGCGAACAGGAUUAGAUACCCUGGUAGUCCAUGCCGUAAACGUUGGGAACUAGAUGUAGGGACCAUUCCACGGUUUCUGUGUCGCAGCUAACGCAUUAAGUUCCCCGCCUGGGGAGUACGGCCGCAAGGCUAAAACUUAAUGAAUUGACGG
Molecule: ribosomal RNA, 567 nt
Filed under: uncultured bacterium
Lineage: Bacteria
Description: bacterial SSU rRNA
Rfam family: Bacterial small subunit ribosomal RNA
Source: RNAcentral